UGGUGGCUCUCUUUCCUUAUGCUCUC
RNAcentral lists this non-coding RNA (26 nucleotides) under Mus musculus (house mouse). The record is from RNAcentral. Lineage: Eukaryota; Metazoa; Chordata; Mammalia; Rodentia; Muridae.